Triticum aestivum (bread wheat) is the source of this 125-nucleotide non-coding RNA. NCBI's taxonomy places the organism in Eukaryota, Viridiplantae, Streptophyta, Magnoliopsida, Poales, Poaceae. The record is from Rfam.
AAGGUACUCCCUCCGUCUGAAAAUAUUUAUCAGCAAAAUAAAUGUAUUUAGACAUAUUUUAGUUUUAGAUACAUCCAUUUUUAUCCAUUUAUGUGCCAAGUAUUUUUGGACGGAGGGAGUAUUUG